Molecule: long non-coding RNA, 849 nt
Filed under: Dromaius novaehollandiae (emu)
Lineage: Eukaryota; Metazoa; Chordata; Aves; Casuariiformes; Dromaiidae
Description: lncRNA (ENSDNVG00000010623.1)
Source: RNAcentral
UAAUUUUGAUUUACCCACAGUGUAUCCCAUUGCAUGUACUUUUUACUCCUUUGUCCCGAACUUGCUGAGUCUUGCUUUCAAAGUUUCUAGCUACUGAACUGCAGAGCAGAUGAAAAUCUCAUAAAUAUUCCCAUAUGGCAUAUUUGUAGAAAGAAGAUGGAUGUACAAGAUAGGGUUCCUUUUAUGUCUGUUGCCUGAGAAAAAUAGAACUAUGUUCUAUGCCCUGUGUAUUUACCUGUUGUUGAAGUAAAUAUCUCUUAUAAGAAUUUCCAUAGAGACCAAGAGGGUGGAUCUAAGAAUCUUUGGAAAGACUCGGAAUAGGACACUAGCUGAACAGAACUUUGGUCCUCAGUAUUGGAAGAUGAUCCAAAAACAAGAGAAGAUAAAAGCUGUGCCAACUAGCAAGUCCUGUCRUUACCAAGCAAUAAGGAGAAAGCAAUAGAUUUCUUCCUCCAAGGUAUUUGCAAGGACUUCUGAACUCUUUUCCAAAACCAAACCUGUUUGGAGUAGCCUAGAGCUUUUUCUUGCUGCUGUAUAAUGAAUUUUCUUUCCAGACUGCAGCAAAGCAAAGAGGUAUGGGGAAACAGACUUUUUGAACGGAAAUAUGCAGUUUCAAGUGAGUGGAAAUAACAUAAAAACUUGGAUUGAACUCCCAAACAGUUUUAAUGGAAAAUAAUGGGAGCAAUAGCAUAAAUAUUUCAGUUCUCCAGAUCUUUAUCAACCAGGGUCUUUGAGCUUUGUACAAACUUGGUGCCAGCACCACUAAAGUUUGAGAGACUAAACUUUUAGACAGGAUGUCUAGAUGCUCAGGUUCAGCUACCUCUUGCAUUUGAUUUGAAGUAGGUUCUU